AAGUUUGAGUUAUGGCGUCAGGAUGAACGGCUAGCGGCAGGCUCAACACGAUGCAAGUCGAGGGGCAGCGCGGAGUAGCAAUACUUGGCGGCGACCGGCGCACGGGUGCGUAACGCGUAUGCAACCUGCCCGCAACAGGGGUAUAACGGAGGGAAACUUCCACUAAUCCCCCAUAUAGUCAUGGAUUCGCAUGUUUCCAUGACGAAAGGUUAUUCUGGUUGCGGAUGGGCAUGCGUGACAUUAGGUAGUUGGCGGGGCAACGGCCACCAAGCCGACGAUGUCUAGGGGAGCUGAGAGGCUUAUCCCCCACACUGGUACUGAGACACGGACCAGACUCCUACGGGAGGCAGCAGUGAGGAAUAUUGGUCAAUGGGAGGAAUCCUGAACCAGCCAUGCCGCGUGGGGGAAGAAGGUCCUAUGGGUUGUAAACCCCUUUUUGCUCCGGAGUAAUAAGGCGGAUGCGUCCGCCGAUGAGAGUACGGGGCGAAUAAGCACCUCGGCUAACUCCGUGCCAGCCGCAGC
Molecule: ribosomal RNA, 522 nt
Filed under: uncultured bacterium
Lineage: Bacteria
Description: bacterial SSU rRNA
Rfam family: Bacterial small subunit ribosomal RNA
Source: RNAcentral